RNAcentral lists this ribosomal RNA (1122 nucleotides) under Salmonella enterica subsp. enterica serovar Typhi. RNAcentral describes it as "bacterial LSU rRNA". It matches the Rfam family "Bacterial large subunit ribosomal RNA", at positions 1 to 1053 of the family's 2925-position model. The record is from RNAcentral. Lineage: Bacteria; Pseudomonadati; Pseudomonadota; Gammaproteobacteria; Enterobacterales; Enterobacteriaceae.
GGGUUGUGAGGUUAAGCGACUAAGCGUACACGGUGGAUGCCCUGGCAGUCAGAGGCGAUGAAGGGCGUGCUAAUCUGCGAUAAGCGCCGGUAAGGUGAUAUGAACCGUUAUAACCGGCGAUACCCGAAUGGGGAAACCCAGUGUGAUUCGUCACACUAUCAUUAACUGAAUCCAUAGGUUAAUGAGGCGAACCGGGGGAACUGAAACAUCUAAGUACCCCGAGGAAAAGAAAUCAACCGAGAUUCCCCCAGUAGCGGCGAGCGAACGGGGAGGAGCCCAGAGCCUGAAUCAGCAUGUGUGUUAGUGGAAGCGUCUGGAAAGGCGCGCGAUACAGGGUGACAGCCCCGUACACAAAAGCGCAUAUGCUGUGAGCUCGAUGAGUAGGGCGGGACACGUGGUAUCCUGUCUGAAUAUGGGGGGACCAUCCUCCAAGGCUAAAUACUCCUGACUGACCGAUAGUGAACCAGUACCGUGAGGGAAAGGCGAAAAGAACCCCGGCGAGGGGAGUGAAAAAGAACCUGAAACCGUGUACGUACAAGCAGUGGGAGCCCCACCACUAAGCCAGUGGUGAACUCCACAUACGCAUCCUUUGCUGAGGAGACGGUUAACGGAGCGAAAGCGACGUUCAACCUCAAAAGAAGCAGAGGGGGCUUAGUGGUGGGGUGACUGCGUACCUUUUGUAUAAUGGGUCAGCGACUUAUAUUCUGUAGCAAGGUUAACUGUAUAGGGGAGCCGGAGGGAAACCGAGUCUUAACCGGGCGUUAAGUUGCAGGGUAUAGACCCGAAACCCGGUGAUCUAGCCAUGGGCAGGUUGAAGGUUGGGUAACACUAACUGGAGGACCGAACCGACUAAUGUUGAAAAAUUAGCGGAUGACCUGUGGCUGGGGGUGAAAGGCCAAUCAAACCGGGAGAUAGCUGGUUCUCCCCGAAAGCUAUUUAGGUAGCGCCUCGUGAAUUCAUCUCCGGGGGUAGAGCACUGUUUCGGCUAGGGGGCCAUCCCGGCUUACCAACCCGAUGCAAACUGCGAAUACCGGAGAAUGUUAUCACGGGAGACACACGGCGGGUGCUAAUGUCCGUCGUGAAGAGGGAAACAACCCAGACCGCCAGCUAAGGUCCCAAAGU